CGUGAAGGGGGACCCAAGUGCUCAUGCAUUGCAUGGGCUGUUCUUUGGUCUAAGUAACCAGAGGAGUAAGGGCUGGGCAAGACCGGUGCCAGCAGCCGCGGAUUAGA
RNAcentral lists this ribosomal RNA (107 nucleotides) under uncultured archaeon. RNAcentral describes it as "partial 16S ribosomal RNA". It matches the Rfam family "Archaeal small subunit ribosomal RNA", at positions 368 to 475 of the family's 1478-position model. The record is from RNAcentral.